Molecule: microRNA precursor, 59 nt
Filed under: Nautilus pompilius
Lineage: Eukaryota; Metazoa; Mollusca; Cephalopoda; Nautilida; Nautilidae
Description: Npo-Mir-375_pre stem-loop
Source: RNAcentral
ACUCGAGCCGCAUGUGACAAGGCUUCCUUCAAAGAGUUUUGUUCGUUCGGCUCGCGUUA